This 1571-nucleotide ribosomal RNA is filed under the name Escherichia coli. Its description in RNAcentral is "partial 23S ribosomal RNA". It matches the Rfam family "Bacterial large subunit ribosomal RNA", at positions 419 to 1994 of the family's 2925-position model. The record is from RNAcentral. Lineage: Bacteria; Pseudomonadati; Pseudomonadota; Gammaproteobacteria; Enterobacterales; Enterobacteriaceae.
GGAGCACGUGAAAUUCCGUCGGAAUCUGGGAGGACCAUCUCCUAAGGCUAAAUACUCUCUAGUGACCGAUAGUGAACCAGUACCGUGAGGGAAAGGUGAAAAGCACCCCGGAAGGGGAGUGAAAUAGAACCUGAAACCGUGUGCUUACAAGUAGUCAGAGCCCGUUAAUGGGUGAUGGCGUGCCUUUUGUAGAAUGAACCGGCGAGUUACGAUUUGAUGCAAGGUUAAGCAGUAAAUGUGGAGCCGUAGCGAAAGCGAGUCUGAAUAGGGCGUUUAGUAUUUGGUCGUAGACCCGAAACCAGGUGAUCUACCCUUGGUCAGGUUGAAGUUCAGGUAACACUGAAUGGAGGACCGAACCGACUUACGUUGAAAAGUGAGCGGAUGAACUGAGGGUAGCGGAGAAAUUCCAAUCGAACCUGGAGAUAGCUGGUUCUCUCCGAAAUAGCUUUAGGGCUAGCCUCAAGUGAUGAUUAUUGGAGGUAGAGCACUGUUUGGACGAGGGGCCCCUCUCGGGUUACCGAAUUCAGACAAACUCCGAAUGCCAAUUAAUUUAACUUGGGAGUCAGAACAUGGGUGAUAAGGUCCGUGUUCGAAAGGGAAACAGCCCAGACCACCAGCUAAGGUCCCAAAAUAUAUGUUAAGUGGAAAAGGAUGUGGCGUUGCCCAGACAACUAGGAUGUUGGCUUAGAAGCAGCCAUCAUUUAAAGAGUGCGUAAUAGCUCACUAGUCGAGUGACACUGCGCCGAAAAUGUACCGGGGCUAAACAUAUUACCGAAGCUGUGGAUUGUCCUUUGGACAAUGGUAGGAGAGCGUUCUAAGGGCGUUGAAGCAUGAUCGUAAGGACAUGUGGAGCGCUUAGAAGUGAGAAUGCCGGUGUGAGUAGCGAAAGACGGGUGAGAAUCCCGUCCACCGAUUGACUAAGGUUUCCAGAGGAAGGCUCGUCCGCUCUGGGUUAGUCGGGUCCUAAGCUGAGGCCGACAGGCGUAGGCGAUGGAUAACAGGUUGAUAUUCCUGUACCACCUAUAAUCGUUUUAAUCGAUGGGGGGACGCAGUAGGAUAGGCGAAGCGUGCGAUUGGAUUGCACGUCUAAGCAGUAAGGCUGAGUAUUAGGCAAAUCCGGUACUCGUUAAGGCUGAGCUGUGAUGGGGAGAAGACAUUGUGUCUUCGAGUCGUUGAUUUCACACUGCCGAGAAAAGCCUCUAGAUAGAAAAUAGGUGCCCGUACCGCAAACCGACACAGGUAGUCAAGAUGAGAAUUCUAAGGUGAGCGAGCGAACUCUCGUUAAGGAACUCGGCAAAAUGACCCCGUAACUUCGGGAGAAGGGGUGCUCUUUAGGGUUAACGCCCAGAAGAGCCGCAGUGAAUAGGCCCAAGCGACUGUUUAUCAAAAACACAGGUCUCUGCUAAACCGUAAGGUGAUGUAUAGGGGCUGACGCCUGCCCGGUGCUGGAAGGUUAAGAGGAGUGGUUAGCUUCUGCGAAGCUACGAAUCGAAGCCCCAGUAAACGGCGGCCGUAACUAUAACGGUCCUAAGGUAGCGAAAUUCCUUGUCGGGUAAGUUCCGACCCGCACG